AGAGUUUGAUCCUGGCUCAGAACGAACGCUGGCGGCAUGCCUAACACAUGCAAGUCGAACGCGUGUAGCAAUACACGAGUGGCGCACGGGUGAGUAACGCGUGGGAACCUGCCCUGGAGUGGGGGAUAACCCGGCGAAAGCCGGGCUAAUACCGCAUACGACCUAAGGGUGAAAGAUUUAUCGCUCUGGGAGGGGCCCGCGUCGGAUUAGCUAGUUGGUGAGGUAACGGCUCACCAAGGCGAUGAUCCGUAGCUGGCCUGAGAGGAUGAUCAGCCACACUGGGACUGAGACACGGCCCAGACUCCUACGGGAGGCAGCAGUGGGGAAUAUUGGACAAUGGGGGCAACCCUGAUCCAGCAAUGCCGCGUGAGUGAUGAAGGCCUUAGGGUUGUAAAGCUCUUUCGGCGGGGACGAUGAUGACGGUACCCGCAGAAGAAGCCCCGGCUAACUUCGUGCCAGCAGCCGCGGUAAUACGAAGGGGGCGAGCGUUGUUCGGAAUUACUGGGCGUAAAGGGCGCGCAGGCGGCCUGAGAAGUCAGAUGUGAAAGCCCCGGGCUCAACCUGGGAAUAGCAUUUGAUACUCUGAGGCUGGAGUGCGGGAGAGGAGAGUGGAAUUCCCAGUGUAGAGGUGAAAUUCGUAGAUAUUGGGAAGAACACCGGUGGCGAAGGCGGCUCUCUGGACCGUAACUGACGCUGAGGCGCGAAAGCGUGGGGAGCAAACAGGAUUAGAUACCCUUGUAGUCC
Molecule: ribosomal RNA, 744 nt
Filed under: uncultured bacterium
Lineage: Bacteria
Description: bacterial SSU rRNA
Rfam family: Bacterial small subunit ribosomal RNA
Source: RNAcentral